Xiphias gladius (swordfish) is the source of this 1096-nucleotide long non-coding RNA. RefSeq lists it as uncharacterized. The record is from RefSeq and is a predicted model, not a curated record. Lineage: Eukaryota; Metazoa; Chordata; Actinopteri; Istiophoriformes; Xiphiidae. The transcript is spliced from 3 exons.
GGAGGAGCGAGGAGACGUGAGGUAAUAGUUGACAGCCAUGGACGUAGAAGCUAGCUCGACGUUGAUGAUACGCGUCUUGAGGUUGGCCUUGAAGUCCACAGACUCUUUGACCUUAUGGCCCAGCAGAGCUCCCAGAAUGGCGUCAGUAGACAACUUCACCUUCUUCAGGAAAUGUCAUACCGCUCUUCAUCAACCCGAUCAAUUUUCUGUUGUAAUCCCUUGCAAAGACUCUGUGGACAGAAACUUUCAGUGCAUUGGACUGGUUUUGUUUGAAUGUAAUUUGUCUGGAUAACUUUGUGGAAAUACUGACACGGUAAGGCACAAUGCACAGCAACAGUACAACAUGUGUAUGGCUAUUUGUUUAUUAAAUACUGUAUACGAUGAAUAUGAAUCUAUAUAAAUACACGCAGCAUAAUAUAAUUUGUAUAGAUUCAUAUUCAUGGUAUCCACAGAUUAACCCAAACACCCUGAUAUGCAUAGUUUUUGUUAGAAAUAUUUUCUAAUAGUCCCAAUUAAAGCUUUUGAUUUUUAGGUGUAUGGAUUAUUCCAACUAAUUGUUACUGGUAAGAGAUAUUGAUUGUUGAGGUUUUUAAAUUGUAUUUCCCAGUACUUUGAGCCCUAUAAACAAAAUGACAUUCACCUCAGUUGUAUUUUGGAGGCUGCAGUAGUCUCAGCGGAAACAUCUGCAAAUAAAAUCAAACUAAUUGCUUCUGCCUAGAUAACAUUAAGCAUAGGUGGGGAAAAAGCGAUGUGGGUGAGGUGAUCCUUUUAAAAUGUUUAGACAGUAAUGUGAUUUAAUGUUGACUUUCUCCGGUGUCCCAACCAAAAAAGGCUCCUUAUGUGGUUUAAUGCUUCAUUGAUGAAUGUACCUGUAGUUCCUGCAAAGACAUGCUUGACAGUUGGAGGGCUGGGACUCUCUCAGCAAGGCUUCUCUCUCGUUCAUCAUGUCUGACUUGCAUUUCAUUCUCCAGCAUACUCAUGGCCUUCUGUAGCAGUUUGGUCUGGUGCACAGCACAUACACAUACAAAAUUACACCUCAGUCAACCAGGCAAUAUAUGGAUUACAGCACUUAAAGAAUUUAAAUUCUUGUACAACA